This 87-nucleotide transfer RNA is filed under the name Alphaproteobacteria bacterium. RNAcentral's name for it is "tRNA-Leu". It matches the Rfam family "tRNA". From Rfam's summary of the family: Transfer RNA (tRNA) molecules are approximately 80 nucleotides in length. Their secondary structure includes four short double-helical elements and three loops (D, anti-codon, and T loops). Further hydrogen bonds mediate the characteristic L-shaped molecular structure. tRNAs have two regions of fundamental functional importance: the anti-codon, which is responsible for specific mRNA codon recognition, and the 3' end, to which the tRNAs corresponding amino acid is attached (by aminoacyl-tRNA synthetases). tRNAs cope with the degeneracy of the genetic code in two manners: having more than one tRNA (with a specific anti-codon) for a particular amino acid; and 'wobble' base-pairing, i.e. permitting non-standard base-pairing at the 3rd anti-codon position. Lineage: Bacteria; Pseudomonadati; Pseudomonadota; Alphaproteobacteria. The record is from RNAcentral.
GCGGGUGUGGUGGAAUUGGUAGACGCGGUAGACUCAAAAUCUACUGGCCGCAAGGCCGUGGGGGUUCAAGUCCCUCCACCCGCACCA